Molecule: ribosomal RNA, 497 nt
Filed under: uncultured bacterium
Lineage: Bacteria
Description: partial 16S ribosomal RNA
Rfam family: Bacterial small subunit ribosomal RNA
Source: RNAcentral
GAUGAACGCUGGCGGCGUGCCUAAUACAUGCAAGUCGAGCGAACAGAUGAGGAGCUUGCUCCUCUGACGUUAGCGGCGGACGGGUGAGUAACACGUGGAUAACCUACCUAUAAGACUGGGAUAACUUCGGGAAACCGGAGCUAAUACCGGAUAAUAUAUUGAACCGCAUGGUUCAAUAGUGAAAGACGGUUUUGCUGUCACUUAUAGAUGGAUCCGCGCCGCAUUAGCUAGUUGGUAAGGUAACGGCUUACCAAGGCGACGAUGCGUAGCCGACCUGAGAGGGUGAUCGGCCACACUGGAACUGAGACACGGUCCAGACUCCUACGGGAGGCAGCAGUAGGGAAUCUUCCGCAAUGGGCGAAAGCCUGACGGAGCAACGCCGCGUGAGUGAUGAAGGUCUUCGGAUCGUAAAACUCUGUUAUUAGGGAAGAACAAAUAUGUAAGUAACUAUGCACGUCUUGACGGUACCUAAUCAGAAAGCCACGGCUAACUACGUG